This 2922-nucleotide ribosomal RNA is filed under the name Staphylococcus aureus. RNAcentral describes it as "23S ribosomal RNA". It matches the Rfam family "Bacterial large subunit ribosomal RNA". Lineage: Bacteria; Bacillati; Bacillota; Bacilli; Caryophanales; Staphylococcaceae. The record is from RNAcentral.
UUAAGUUAUUAAGGGCGCACGGUGGAUGCCUUGGCACUAGAAGCCAAUGAAGGACGUUACUAACGACGAUAUGCUUUGGGGAGCUGUAAGUAAGCUUUGAUCCAGAGAUUUCCGAAUGGGGAAACCCAGCAUGAGUUAUGUCAUGUUAUCGAUAUGUGAAUACAUAGCAUAUCAGAAGGCACACCCGGAGAACUGAAACAUCUUAGUACCCGGAGGAAGAGAAAGAAAAUUCGAUUCCCUUAGUAGCGGCGAGCGAAACGGGAAGAGCCCAAACCAACAAGCUUGCUUGGUUGGGGUUGUAGGACACUCUAUACGGAGUUACAAAGGACGACAUUAGACGAAUCAUCUGGAAAGAUGAAUCAAAGAAGGUAAUAAUCCUGUAGUCGAAAAUGUUGUCUCUCUUGAGUGGAUCCUGAGUACGACGGAGCACGUGAAAUUCCGUCGGAAUCUGGGAGGACCAUCUCCUAAGGCUAAAUACUCUCUAGUGACCGAUAGUGAACCAGUACCGUGAGGGAAAGGUGAAAAGCACCCCGGAAGGGGAGUGAAAUAGAACCUGAAACCGUGUGCUUACAAGUAGUCAGAGCCCGUUAAUGGGUGAUGGCGUGCCUUUUGUAGAAUGAACCGGCGAGUUACGAUUUGAUGCAAGGUUAAGCAGUAAAUGUGGAGCCGUAGCGAAAGCGAGUCUGAAUAGGGCGUUUAGUAUUUGGUCGUAGACCCGAAACCAGGUGAUCUACCCUUGGUCAGGUUGAAGUUCAGGUAACACUGAAUGGAGGACCGAACCGACUUACGUUGAAAAGUGAGCGGAUGAACUGAGGGUAGCGGAGAAAUUCCAAUCGAACCUGGAGAUAGCUGGUUCUCUCCGAAAUAGCUUUAGGGCUAGCCUCAAGUGAUGAUUAUUGGAGGUAGAGCACUGUUUGGACGAGGGGCCCCUCUCGGGUUACCGAAUUCAGACAAACUCCGAAUGCCAAUUAAUUUAACUUGGGAGUCAGAACAUGGGUGAUAAGGUCCGUGUUCGAAAGGGAAACAGCCCAGACCACCAGCUAAGGUCCCAAAAUAUAUGUUAAGUGGAAAAGGAUGUGGCGUUGCCCAGACAACUAGGAUGUUGGCUUAGAAGCAGCCAUCAUUUAAAGAGUGCGUAAUAGCUCACUAGUCGAGUGACACUGCGCCGAAAAUGUACCGGGGCUAAACAUAUUACCGAAGCUGUGGAUUGUCCUUUGGACAAUGGUAGGAGAGCGUUCUAAGGGCGUUGAAGCAUGAUCGUAAGGACAUGUGGAGCGCUUAGAAGUGAGAAUGCCGGUGUGAGUAGCGAAAGACGGGUGAGAAUCCCGUCCACCGAUUGACUAAGGUUUCCAGAGGAAGGCUCGUCCGCUCUGGGUUAGUCGGGUCCUAAGCUGAGGCCGACAGGCGUAGGCGAUGGAUAACAGGUUGAUAUUCCUGUACCACCUAUAAUCGUUUUAAUCGAUGGGGGGACGCAGUAGGAUAGGCGAAGCGUGCGAUUGGAUUGCACGUCUAAGCAGUAAGGCUGAAUAUUAGGCAAAUCCGGUACUCGUUAAGGCUGAGCUGUGAUGGGGAGAAGACAUUGUGUCUUCGAGUCGUUGAUUUCACACUGCCGAGAAAAGCCUCUAGAUAGAAAAUAGGUGCCCGUACCGCAAACCGACACAGGUAGUCAAGAUGAGAAUUCUAAGGUGAGCGAGCGAACUCUCGUUAAGGAACUCGGCAAAAUGACCCCGUAACUUCGGGAGAAGGGGUGCUCUUUAGGGUUAACGCCCAGAAGAGCCGCAGUGAAUAGGCCCAAGCGACUGUUUAUCAAAAACACAGGUCUCUGCUAAACCGUAAGGUGAUGUAUAGGGGCUGACGCCUGCCCGGUGCUGGAAGGUUAAGAGGAGUGGUUAGCUUCUGCGAAGCUACGAAUCGAAGCCCCAGUAAACGGCGGCCGUAACUAUAACGGUCCUAAGGUAGCGAAAUUCCUUGUCGGGUAAGUUCCGACCCGCACGAAAGGCGUAACGAUUUGGGCACUGUCUCAACGAGAGACUCGGUGAAAUCAUAGUACCUGUGAAGAUGCAGGUUACCCGCGACAGGACGGAAAGACCCCGUGGAGCUUUACUGUAGCCUGAUAUUGAAAUUCGGCACAGCUUGUACAGGAUAGGUAGGAGCCUUUGAAACGUGAGCGCUAGCUUACGUGGAGGCGCUGGUGGGAUACUACCCUAGCUGUGUUGGCUUUCUAACCCGCACCACUUAUCGUGGUGGGAGACAGUGUCAGGCGGGCAGUUUGACUGGGGCGGUCGCCUCCUAAAAGGUAACGGAGGCGCUCAAAGGUUCCCUCAGAAUGGUUGGAAAUCAUUCAUAGAGUGUAAAGGCAUAAGGGAGCUUGACUGCGAGACCUACAAGUCGAGCAGGGUCGAAAGACGGACUUAGUGAUCCGGUGGUUCCGCAUGGAAGGGCCAUCGCUCAACGGAUAAAAGCUACCCCGGGGAUAACAGGCUUAUCUCCCCCAAGAGUUCACAUCGACGGGGAGGUUUGGCACCUCGAUGUCGGCUCAUCGCAUCCUGGGGCUGUAGUCGGUCCCAAGGGUUGGGCUGUUCGCCCAUUAAAGCGGUACGCGAGCUGGGUUCAGAACGUCGUGAGACAGUUCGGUCCCUAUCCGUCGUGGGCGUAGGAAAUUUGAGAGGAGCUGUCCUUAGUACGAGAGGACCGGGAUGGACAUACCUCUGGUGUACCAGUUGUCGUGCCAACGGCAUAGCUGGGUAGCUAUGUGUGGACGGGAUAAGUGCUGAAAGCAUCUAAGCAUGAAGCCCCCCUCAAGAUGAGAUUUCCCAACUUCGGUUAUAAGAUCCCUCAAAGAUGAUGAGGUUAAUAGGUUCGAGGUGGAAGCAUGGUGACAUGUGGAGCUGACGAAUACUAAUCGAUCGAAGACUUAAUCAA